GACGAACGCUGGCGGCGUGCUUAACACAUGCAAGUCGAACGGUGAAGCCCUUCGGGGUGGAUCAGUGGCGAACGGGUGAGUAACACGUGAGCAACCUGCCCCUGGCUCUGGGACAACCACUGGAAACGGUGGCUAAUACCGGAUACGACCCGCCUCGGCAUCGAGUGUGGGUGGAAAGUUUUUCGGCUGGGGAUGGGCUCGCCGCCUAUCAGCUUGUUGGUGAGGUGAAGGCUCACCAAGGCGACGACGGGUAGCCGGCCUGAGAGGGCGACCGGCCACAAGGGGAAUGGGAGACGGCACGGGCUCCUAGGGGAGGCAGGGGGGGGGAAUGUUCCAAAAGGGGCGAAGGCGUGAAGCAGGGCCGCGGGGUGGGGGGUGACGGUGUUGGGGUUGAAAACCUUUUGGUGAACAAAAGAAGGGAAGGGGGGGGGGGGAAGAAAAAAAACACGGGAAAACUGCG
RNAcentral lists this ribosomal RNA (460 nucleotides) under uncultured bacterium. Its description in RNAcentral is "partial 16S ribosomal RNA". It matches the Rfam family "Bacterial small subunit ribosomal RNA", at positions 28 to 505 of the family's 1533-position model. The record is from RNAcentral.